Molecule: ribosomal RNA, 816 nt
Filed under: uncultured bacterium
Lineage: Bacteria
Description: bacterial SSU rRNA
Rfam family: Bacterial small subunit ribosomal RNA
Source: RNAcentral
AGAGUUUGAUCCUGGCUCAGGACUAAUGCUAGCGGCGUGCCUAACACAUGCAAGUCGAACGGUCCCAAUUGCUAUUUGAGAACAGUUGUUUUUCUACAGCUGUUUUAAUUUAGCAAUCGGGAUAGUGGCGAACGGGUGAGUAAUGCAUGGAUAACCUAUUUUUAAGAGGAGGAUAGCCUCGUGAAAACGAGGGUAAUACUCCAUAAGACUCCGAUACAAAAGCAUCGGAGUAAAAGUUCUGAUUUCAUCGGGACACUUGAAAAGGGGUUCAUGUUCUAUUAGCUAGUUGGUGCGGUAAUGGCGUACCAAGGCGAAGAUGGAUAGCCGGCUUGAGAGAGUGUACGGCCACACUGGGAUUGAGAAACGGCCCAGACUCCUACGGGAGGCAGCAGUGAGGAAUUUUCCGCAAUGCCCGAAAGGGUGACGGAGCGACGCCGCGUGGGUGAUGAAGGCCUUCGGGUUGUAAAACCCUGUUAUAAAGGACGAUUAUGACGGUACUUUAUGAGGAAGCAUCGGCUAACUCUGUGCCAGCAGCCGCGGUAAGACAGAGGAUGCAAGCAUUGUCCGGAAUUACUGGGUGUAAAGGGUGUGCAGGUGGUUAAAUAAGUCAAAUGUGAAAUCUAGAUGCUUAACAUCUAAACUGCAUUUGAUACUGUUUGACUUGAGUUUUGGUGAGGAAAGUGGAAUUCCCGGUGGAGCGGUGAAAUGCGUUGAUACCGGGAGGAACACCGAUGGCGAAGGCAGCUUUCCAGCCUAAAACUGACACUGAGACACGAAAGCUAGGGGAGCAAACAGGAUUAGAUACCCUGGUAGUCC